UACAGAGGGUGCGAGCGUUUGUCCGGAAUCACUGGGCGUAAAGGGCGCGUAGGUGGCGAUCCAAGUCCAUGGUGAAAGCUCGAUGCUCAACAUCGAGUCGGCCACGGAUACUGGGUUGCUUGAGCACUGUAGGGGCAGAUGGAAUUCCGGGUGUAGCGGUGGAAUGCGUAGAGAUCCGGAAGAACACCGGUGGCGAAGGCGGUCUGCUGGGCAGUUGCUGACACUGAGGCGCGACAGCGUGGGGAGCGAACAGG
This 254-nucleotide ribosomal RNA is filed under the name uncultured bacterium. RNAcentral describes it as "partial 16S ribosomal RNA". It matches the Rfam family "Bacterial small subunit ribosomal RNA", at positions 524 to 776 of the family's 1533-position model. The record is from RNAcentral.